Long non-coding RNA from Passer montanus (Eurasian tree sparrow), 328 nucleotides. RefSeq lists it as uncharacterized. The transcript is spliced from 3 exons. The record is from RefSeq and is a predicted model, not a curated record. Lineage: Eukaryota; Metazoa; Chordata; Aves; Passeriformes; Passeridae.
UCCUCUGCAGCCUCACUCCCACUUACCACAAAUCAUGUACCUACGUGGGCUAGGAGGGGCUGCAGUGAGGGGACAAGCAGUUUUGGAUUUGUGGCUUUGUCCUUUGCAUAACUGAGUGUGAGCCCCAGCCUGGACCUGGCCAAGCAGGAAGGGGUUGCAGUUGUCUGUACAUGCAACAACUGAAAGUGGAGGAAAAAAUUCCCCUGUUGCUUUUGGACUGCCUAGGUCCAAGGCAAGCCCACAACAUGGUAAAUAUUAGAAGCAGAUUGCUCAUACACUGGAAGAGAUUCUUGGCAGCUGUUUGUUCUGGCUGACUCCAUUUAAAAAU